This 363-nucleotide ribosomal RNA is filed under the name Lampris immaculatus (southern opah). Its description in RNAcentral is "partial 16S ribosomal RNA". It matches the Rfam family "Bacterial large subunit ribosomal RNA", at positions 1963 to 2485 of the family's 2925-position model. The record is from RNAcentral. Lineage: Eukaryota; Metazoa; Chordata; Actinopteri; Lampriformes; Lampridae.
AAUCACUUGUCUUUUAAAUGAAGACCUGUAUGAAUGGCACCACGAGGACUUAGCUGUCUCCUCUCUCCCGUCAGUAAAAUUGACCUGCCCGUGCAGAGGCGGGCACACCCCCACAAGACGAGAAGACCCUGUGGAGCUUUAGGCCUAAGAAAGAGGAUAUCAAGCUAGAAACAGCAGCAGCCCACCUUUCCUAAUGCCUUUGGUUGGGGCGACCACGGAGAUAAGACAAACCCCCGCGUGGACUGAGAGACCCCUCCCCCUCUUAAAACCAAGAGCCACCCCUCUAAGCACCAGAAUAUCUGACCACUAAUGACCCGGCCCUGCCGAUAAACGAACCCAGUUACCCCAGGGAUAACAGNGNAA